Molecule: non-coding RNA, 2329 nt
Organism: Paramuricea clavata
Lineage: Eukaryota; Metazoa; Cnidaria; Anthozoa; Malacalcyonacea; Plexauridae
Source: the annotation of a GenBank genome assembly
UGUAAGUGACUUUUUGCCGACUCAUCUCAACCACUAAUUAAUAUUUUUUCCCAAAAUUGUUGGCGAGUGGGGGAAGGGAGACAAUUAAUGUGCGGCUAAACAUCAAAAAAGUUUCCGGACAUUACAUUUUCGGUUAUCGUACCAUUGUUCGUCCAAUUUUUCGUUCAUAUUUUUGUCAGUUUCUCCAAAUUUUAGUUAUAGGACGAAAACAAUUUGUCGGACUGGAUUCUAUAAUUUGCCGACUACCUGUCGAUUGGAGGUGUUCCACCCCCCUCCUAGCCUGCGAACAGGCCCUGGGUUGCGGGCGGCGCGAAGAAUAGAGGGCCUGCACGGAACUAUAGGUUUUCUUGGUAGUGGCGUUCGUAUAGAAACGCAGGCUUCUGAUUGGCUUACACUCGUUGACAAAAUUACUAAAAAUAGCAAAUGUCAACAACAGCAUUUUGAAGAAUUUGAACUUUAUUCAUUUUAAUAUUAUAUAUUAAUUAUAAGACUAUCGAACAAAUAACACUAGAAAUGGAAACCAAAAGCAAUAGCAAAGCAUCACAGCAAAAAAGUAUAUCAUAAAUGACUUGAAUCUAUCGCUUAAAUUCAAUACUAUAACAGUAUUCUGAACUUCGUCUUCGGAUUGACAUAAAUCUAGUACUACAUUUUGAGGUCGUCGUGGCUUCACGGAUUAUUCUCAUUAGUGAGCAAGUCAGCAAGCGAAGGCAUACAAAAGAUACCCAAAUAUGUACGAAUAAUUAUGAUAAAUAUAUAUCGUACAUUAAACGUUGUACUAUUAACUGUAUAAACUGCUGACAAUUUCGUCGUCGAUACGGCUUCCACUAUUGGCACACUCGUGAUUUCGAAGAAAUUAAUAAAUACAUGCUCAUUUAUCAUUUAUUUAGACCACAGUUAGUAAAAUUUUAGACGUAUUUGAUAUUCCAAACCCCAAUCUAUCUGACUGUAUUUUAGUAAUAGCUUCAAAUAUUCAGAACAUUGUUCUUUCAGUCGCACAUAGUACAAGUAUUACUGUACAUUCAAUGCCAAUGGUAGUAUUUUAUUCGGCUUUAUAUUUGUAUGUGUAUUGUACGGUGGCCCAGACGCGACAGCACAAAAACAGUUUUUGUAUUUUUUGAUUUUUUGAUUUUUUGAUUUUUAGAUUUUUAGAUUUUUUGAUUUUUUGAUUUUUUGAUUUUUUGAUUUUUGGAUUUUUGUAUUUUUGUAUUUUUUGAUUUUUUGAUUUUUUGAUUUUUUGAUUUUUUGAUUUUUUGAUUUUUUGAUUUUUUGAUUUUUGUAUUUUUUGAUUUUUUGAUUUUUUGAUUUUUUGAUUUUUUGAUUUUUUGAUUUUUGUAUUUUUGUAUUUUUUGAUUUUUGUAUUUUUGUAUUUUUUGAUUUUUUGAUUUUUUGAUUUUUUUAUUUUUUUAUUUUUUGAUUUUUUGAUUUUUGUAUUUUUUGAUUUUUUGAUUUUUUGAUUUUUUGAUUUUUUGAUUUUGAUAUAUAUUUGGAUUUUUUUUAAUGUUUAAAGACCUUGUCAAGUUCGUUCUGCACAUUAGUGAUGGGCGAUACCAGGAUUUUUAAUUCGAUACCGAUACCGAUACUUUUAAGAUCGGUAUCGGUCGAUACCGAUACCUAUUUCGAUACCAAAAUAAACACAAAAUUCCAAUUUUCGAUACCGGAAGUGAGUACUUAAAUUGCUAGUAUCGGCUACUUUCGAUACCUGCCGGUCAGCGGAAAAACAUUUUGCAUUACUGCCAUGUAACCUAAAUAAAGCCAUAAGUAAAACAAAAGCCCUAAACGUAAUAAAUAUUCUCUAUACCUGACUUGGCGCACCGAAUUUGGAAUAUUAAGAGUUACUUUAGUGGUUCAUUAAGUCGGCUAUUCAACCAAGAAGUUAAAUUAAAUAAGUAGUUUAAAAAAGGGUGCAAGUAUCGAACGAUACCACGUCAGUAAUCGAUACCGAUACCGCUGUUUGUGGUAUCGCUGGUAUCGAAUACUGAGUACUCGGUAUCGCCCAUCACUACUGCACAUCAGUUCUGUUCAUAACAAAGGGCGACCUACACUAAUAAAUAUUGCCCAAAUUUUGCAUUUUCGAACUGUUUUGAAUUGAAACGUACUCUAGUUUAUAUUCAUUUACAAUAGCGAACCAGAAAACUGUUAGAUAUUUAGUUAAUAGUAUGUCUUAUUUUACAAAUAUAUAGCAGUCCAAAAUAUAAACAAAGCAUCGAAGGAUUUAUUUACAUUACGUGGACUUGACAUGCAUGGUCUUCAAAAGUUUGAAGUACUAUAGGCGAAGCCGAGUAUCUUUUAUAAGUCUGAUAAAACACGCACUGCGGAUGUAAAUUUUAUG